Symphalangus syndactylus (siamang) is the source of this 405-nucleotide long non-coding RNA. RefSeq lists it as uncharacterized. The record is from RefSeq and is a predicted model, not a curated record. NCBI's taxonomy places the organism in Eukaryota, Metazoa, Chordata, Mammalia, Primates, Hylobatidae.
UAAGACUUGACUUGCUGCUCCUUGCCUUCUGCCAUGAUUGUGGACCCUCCCCAGCCAUGUGGAACUGAGGACAAGGCGGCAUAGAAAAAGCUGCUAUCCAAGGUAGAGAAAGCUAUAGAGAAACCCUCUAACUAAUGAAGAACUGACUUGUGUGCUGUAUGAGGCCCUGGAUUUUUGUCAUCGUAAUUAUAUUCCAGAUCAAAGAUAGGCAUGGGUGUCUACGUGCAAGGUUAUGACUAUGGACUCUAAAUGAACCAAAUGGGCAGGCCAAGGCUCAGUCUUAAAUGGUCUGCGGUAGGGGGCAUUGCUUUGAUUUGGAGGAAGAGGAGAGACUGGGAUUCUCGCUGUGUUGCCCAGGCUGGUCUCAAGUUAUCCUCUCACUUCAGCCUUACAAAGCACAGGUGU